GGAAGAGAUACCCCGUGGACAUGUUUCCCUUGGAAAGUGGAGGGAACCCUCUGAGCCGUGAUUCCGCCUGAAUUAAGCAGUGGCGGGCACUGGCCUGGCAGGCGGCUUCUACUGCCUUGGAUUUGCACCUCUAAGGGGUCACAGGGGCCACCCCCGAAACAAGACAAAGUGUGAUCAUGGACAGGCCCUCGGGGGGCCGGAAGAAGGAACGGCUCCAGUGAUGAAAGCUGAACGCCAGCUCUCUCCCCAUCGUUCUCCCGGACCAGGAGAGGGCUGCUCGGCAGGGCUAGGUUUAAAAACCUUCCAUGCAACUUACGAAGGCAUCCACAGUGACUUCUGCUGCUGUGGAAGAGUCUCUCCCUUUUGCAAACGCCAGCCACAGAGGUUUAUUUUUCUCCCUGAGAGAAGGAAGAGUGAAGGCUGAGACUGAGACAGAAGGACAGAAGGAGAAGACUUAGAAGCCAGUGAGCCCGGAACCACGAGACGCGCUCUGAGGACACGGGGCCUCGGGGAAACCGGGCACGGGCAGGGGUUGGUCUUGGCUUCCCCGCAACAUUGCCGCGAGCUCGGGUGCCGUCUCCACUCGCAGGCUGGCCUGUCCUCUGCAGCCACGAGCUCAGGCACCGUCUCCGUUCAUAGGCCAGCCUGUUCUCUGCAGCCUGAGGUCCCUGUGGUGCCAACAUCCAGAUGCUGAGAUAAUUCUGCCAGGGUGUUGGCUGAUCGGUGAUUGGUGGUUGGCUGUUCCGUGAGUUCUGCAUUGAUCUUGCUGGCUGAGCGUCCAAUGCGGAGGGGCAGGUGCUGUUAGGGUCUCCACUCCCAUCCCUCUCCCCAGGACUCAUCACCCACUGCAACCGUAAGCUGCUAGGGGCUCACAGCCGUGAGUCUUUGGGACGGGUGGUCCCACCUGGCAUGUAGCUCAGGCUCCUAGCCCCAGGACCCUGCCGCUGCUCCCCUCCCGCCCACAUCUUGGCUUAGCCGUCUUCCCUGGCUGCCAGCCCCUUCCCCUGGUCUUAGUUGGCUUGAGCCACUAAACUGAAAUAGCACACCCUGAGGCCUUCAACAGCAGACCUGAUUUCUCACCAUCUGGAGGCUGGAGGUCCAGGAUCCAGGCCCCCAAGGCUGCUUUCUCCCCCACUCCCCCACCCACCUUCCAGGACACGCAGACUCCACCCUCUUGCUGCCCUGUCUCAGGGCUGUCCCUCUGGGCAAGCAGGCCCCUGGCAUCCCCGUGUGUCUUCUCCUCCUGUUCUUAUAAGGACACCAGUCAUACUGGAUCUGGGCCCACCCUAGUGACCUCAUUUACCUUAAUCACCUCUGAAAGACCUUGUCUCAAAAACAGCCACAUUCUGGGGCACUGAGGGUUAGGGCUUUAACAUGGGAAUUUGAGGGAUGCAAUUCACCCCAUAAAACCCAGACCAUUCCCCCAGUAAAUCACUUUCACAAGAGCUCUUCUCUCAGGCUUUGCUUCUGGGGGAUCCCCCUUGAGAUGGAUCCAUCUAGCUUCCUGCUUCUCAAAGAACAGAGGGGAGAGCUCUGGUGCGAAGGGAACGGGUGGCCUCGGGGACCUGCGGAUAAGCUGCUGGCACUGCCAGGGGACAGGCUGAGCUGAAAGCCAGGAGGAGGGCGGCGAGGCCCGGGGCCGGACCUCAUUCUUCUGAGUGUUAUAAAAUCUGGCUUUGCUCAGAAACUGCCCCAUGUGUGCUUUUGUUAAUUGAAGUGCAAAAUUUUCUCCAAGUAAUAACUGGAGUCGUUUAACAAUACAAAUAAUUUGCACCUUAAUUUGGUCGAUGGCACAAUUGCUAAUUCCUAGAGACUCAGAGGAGCAAAGUGAUCACGAAUUCCAAGAGUGGAAACAAAUCCAUUCCGCAAAUUUCACCCUGGCUUCUUCCUCGCCGGCCUGGGAGCUGCCCCGAGGGUCCUGGAACCUUCAGCUGCUUCCGGGCUCAGCCGGUGUCGUGGGGAGCCAGGUCCUGUGGUGGCUCCCAGCCCCAAAGCUGAC
Molecule: long non-coding RNA, 1999 nt
Filed under: Homo sapiens (human)
Lineage: Eukaryota; Metazoa; Chordata; Mammalia; Primates; Hominidae
Description: non-protein coding LINC01679:10
Source: RNAcentral